Molecule: long non-coding RNA, 384 nt
Filed under: Ictidomys tridecemlineatus (thirteen-lined ground squirrel)
Lineage: Eukaryota; Metazoa; Chordata; Mammalia; Rodentia; Sciuridae
Description: lncRNA (ENSSTOG00000031123.1)
Source: RNAcentral
CUUUUGUAACUUUGGCUUUGUCUUUGCUCUUCACAGAAAGGACUCCCUCUCAUCACUUGUAAGCUCCUGUCUCCUCCAUAGGAGCAAGAGGACUGCAGAGGUUCCAGAGCACAUCCUCUGGAGACACCACCCAGGGAGGAGAGGAAAGAAGUCUCUUUUUUCUCAGAAGCCCCCAGCGAACAGCUGUUCAUCCCUGCAUGCCAGUAGAUACAUGCUCCUCUCUGAAGCAAGGUCAGAAGAUGAGCAAAGUGAGGCUAGAAAAAUGUUGGAACUUCUACAGUCUUUGAGGACCAAUUGAUGAACCCUCCUGAAACAAAUAGAGAAUCAAGAGGCAGCUGGCAGAGACAUGGAAGGUCAGAUCACCAUGUGGGAAACUGGCGGCUG